CUUUCAACAACGGAUCUCUAGGCUCUUGCAUCGAUGAAGAACGCAGUGAAAUGCGAUAAGUAAUGUGAAUUGCAGAAUUCUCGUGAAUCAUUGAAUCUUUGAACGCACAUUGCGCGCUUUGGCAUUCCAUAGGGCAUGCCUGUCUGAGCGUCAGCA
This 156-nucleotide ribosomal RNA is filed under the name Terfezia arenaria. RNAcentral's name for it is "5.8S ribosomal RNA". It matches the Rfam family "5.8S ribosomal RNA". Rfam says of the family: 5.8S ribosomal RNA (5.8S rRNA) is a component of the large subunit of the eukaryotic ribosome. It is transcribed by RNA polymerase I as part of the 45S precursor that also contains 18S and 28S rRNA. Lineage: Eukaryota; Fungi; Ascomycota; Pezizomycetes; Pezizales; Pezizaceae. The record is from RNAcentral.